This 495-nucleotide ribosomal RNA is filed under the name uncultured bacterium. RNAcentral describes it as "partial 16S ribosomal RNA". It matches the Rfam family "Bacterial small subunit ribosomal RNA", at positions 28 to 505 of the family's 1533-position model. The record is from RNAcentral.
GAUGAACGCUGGCGGCGUGCCUAAUACAUGCAAGUCGAGCGAACGGACGAGAAGCUUGCUUCUCUGAUGUUAGCGGCGGACGGGUGAGUAACACGUGGAUAACCUACCUAUAAGACUGGGAUAACUUCGGGAAACCGGAGCUAAUACCGGAUGAUAUUUUGAACCGCAUGGUUCAAAAGUGAAAGACGGUCUUGCUGUCACUUAUAGAUGGAUCCGCGCUGCACUAGCUAGUUGGUAAGGUAACGGCUUACCAAGGCAACGAUGCAUAGCCGACCUGAGAGGGUGAUCGGCCACACUGGAACUGAGACACGGUCCAGACUCCUACGGGAGGCAGCAGUAGGGAAUCUUCCGCAAUGGGCGAAAGCCUGACGGAGCAACGCCGCGUGAGUGAUGAGGGUCUUCGGAUCGUAAAACUCUGUUAUUAGGGAAGAACAUAUGUGUAAGUAACUGUGCACAUCUUGACGGUACCUAAUCAGAAAGCCACGGCUAACUACG